CCUACGGGAGGCAGCAGUGAGGAAUAUUGGUCAAUGGACGAGAGUCUGAACCAGCCAAGUAGCGUGAAGGAUGACUGCCCUAUGGGUUGUAAACUUCUUUUAUACGGGAAUAAAACGAGUCACGUGUGGGGUUUUGCAUGUACCUUAUGAAUAAGGAUCGGCUAACUCCGUGCCAGCAGCCGCGGUAAUACGGAGGAUCCGAGCGUUAUCCGGAUUUAUUGGGUUUAAAGGGAGCGUAGGUGGGAUGUUAAGUCAGUUGUGAAAGUUUGCGGCUCAACCGUAGAAUUGCAAGUGAUACUGGCAGUCUUGAGUACAGUGGAGGUAGGCGGAAUUCGUGGUGUAGCGGUGAAAUGCUUAGAUAUCACGAAGAACCCCGAUUGCGAAGGCAGCUUACUAAACUGUAACUGACAUUGAUGCUCGAAAGUGUGGGUAUCAAACAGGAUUAGAUACCCCAGUAGUC
This 460-nucleotide ribosomal RNA is filed under the name uncultured bacterium. RNAcentral's name for it is "partial 16S ribosomal RNA". It matches the Rfam family "Bacterial small subunit ribosomal RNA", at positions 338 to 795 of the family's 1533-position model. The record is from RNAcentral.